RNAcentral lists this ribosomal RNA (431 nucleotides) under uncultured bacterium. Its description in RNAcentral is "bacterial SSU rRNA". It matches the Rfam family "Bacterial small subunit ribosomal RNA", at positions 28 to 505 of the family's 1533-position model. The record is from RNAcentral.
GGUGAAUGCUGGCGGCGUGGAUGAGGCAUGCAAGUCGAAUGCAUUUAGUUGCAUGGCAGACGAGGUAGUAACGUGUAGGUACGUACCAAAGAGUCAGGGAUAACCCGGCGAAAGUCGGAAUAAUACUUGAUGGUCCCUUCGGGGUAAAGAUUUAUCGCUCUUUGAACGGCCUGCAUCCUAUCAGCUUGAUGGUAAGGUAACGGCUUACCAUGGCUACGACGGGUAGGGGAGGUGAGAGCCUGACCCCCACCGAUGGAACUGAGACACGGUCCAUACUCCUACGGGAGGCCGCAGUCGAGAAUCUUCCGCAAUGGACGAAAGUCUGACGGAGCGACGCCGCGUGGUGGAUGAAGCCCUUAGGGGCGUAAACACCUUUUAUGAGUGAAGAAGUUUAUUGACAUUAGCUCAUGAAUAAGGGGCUCCCAAUUCUG